UUUGUAAAAGGCAAACUCAGGGUGACCUGGGGACGCAAAGCUACGAGUCCUGUAAAGGAUAGUCGGGUUACCAAAU
Molecule: non-coding RNA, 76 nt
Filed under: Geobacteraceae bacterium
Lineage: Bacteria; Pseudomonadati; Thermodesulfobacteriota; Desulfuromonadia; Geobacterales; Geobacteraceae
Description: c-di-GMP sequence
Rfam family: c-di-GMP-I-GGC riboswitch aptamer
Source: RNAcentral